This is a non-coding RNA of Cinara cedri, 245 nucleotides long. The record is from the annotation of a GenBank genome assembly. Lineage: Eukaryota; Metazoa; Arthropoda; Insecta; Hemiptera; Aphididae.
CAAGGAAAUUCCAAUCAACGACAAAUAGUAAAGAAAUCACAAUUAGAUAAAUUUUCCUGUUUUUCUGACGGGUUUUCGAGUAUUCACCCAUUCAAUAAAAAAUAUCAAAGGAUCGUCCUCAGUACUCCAACUUCCAUAUUUGAACUGAAAUCACCUUUAACAUUAAUGGUUGAUGCAAUAUUUCCUGAUAUAAAAGUUAUUUAUAGGCCCAAAAAAAACACAUAUUAAUCAUAGUGACCGGACUU